This 170-nucleotide long non-coding RNA is filed under the name Ictidomys tridecemlineatus (thirteen-lined ground squirrel). Its description in RNAcentral is "lncRNA (ENSSTOG00000032506.1)". Lineage: Eukaryota; Metazoa; Chordata; Mammalia; Rodentia; Sciuridae. The record is from RNAcentral.
CCUUUUCUUUUUACUUCUUAGAACAGCAAGUAUUUGUCAAGAAGAUCUAUGAGAAAUAGCCUCACAGGCACCUUAAAAAUAAGAAUUUUCCUAGCAUGAAAUGGUGCCUUUUGUGGAAAGAUAAGAAUCAAGCCAGUCAUAUGGGCUGCUUUCUGUAGGAGUCAUGUAAG